GCAUAUCAAUUAAGCGGAGGAAAAGAAACCAACAGGGAUUGCCCCAGUAACGGCGAGUGAAGCGGCAAAAGCUCAAAUUUGAAAUCCUGCGGGAAUUGUAAUUUGAAGGUUUCGUGGUCUGAGUCGGCCGCGCCCAAGUCCAUUGGAACAUGGCGCCUGGGAGGGUGAGAGCCCCGUAUGGCGCACGCCGACUCUUUGUACACCGCGGCUCCGACGAGUCGAGUUGUUUGGGAAUGCAGCUCUAAGUGGGUGGUAAAUUCCAUCUAAAGCUAAAUAUUGGCGAGAGACCGAUAGCGAACAAGUACAGUGAUGGAAAGAUGAAAAGCACUUUGAAAAGAGAGUGAAACAGCACGUGAAAUUGUUGAAAGGGAAGGGCUUGCAAGCAGACACGGUUUUACCGGGCCAGCGUCGAAAAGGGGGGAGGAACAAGAACUCGAGAAUGUGGCGCGCACCUUCGGGCGCGCGUGUUAUAGCUCGUGUUGACGCCUCCAUCCCUUUUCGAGGCCUGCGAUUCUAGGACGCUGGCGUAAUGGUUGCAAGCCGCCCGUCUUGGAAACACGGACC
Molecule: ribosomal RNA, 564 nt
Filed under: Clavispora lusitaniae
Lineage: Eukaryota; Fungi; Ascomycota; Pichiomycetes; Serinales; Metschnikowiaceae
Description: eukaryotic LSU rRNA
Rfam family: Eukaryotic large subunit ribosomal RNA
Source: RNAcentral